CGUCCACCCAAGAUACAGCAGCAGCACGUACGACAGCGACAUCGCGCUCGUCCACAUCGCAGACAAGGUCAGCUUCACCAACUGGCCUGGCAUCAAGCCCGUGUGCAUGCCUCCUCCGACCUCGGAUUAUGCUGGCAGGGAUGCCACGGUCACCGGCUGGGGCACCACGUCCUCAGGUGGCACGCAGCCAGAG
Penaeus monodon (black tiger shrimp) is the source of this 193-nucleotide long non-coding RNA. RefSeq lists it as uncharacterized. The record is from RefSeq and is a predicted model, not a curated record. Lineage: Eukaryota; Metazoa; Arthropoda; Malacostraca; Decapoda; Penaeidae. The transcript is spliced from 3 exons.